AGAGCGUCUUCAUUGACCUCUCACCCUUCACAUCCACAUACACCUGUGCACCGUUUGGCUCUUUUAAAAGACGCAAGUCUGCAAUGAGAGUCAUCAAUUUUUAUACAUACCCCAGUCUUAUGAAUGUAACAGUUUUAAUAAACAUAAUAAAACUUUUAACAACGGAUCUCUUGGUUCUCGCAUCGAUGAAGAACGCAGCGAAAUGCGAUAAGUAAUGUGAAUUGCAGAAUUCAGUGAAUCAUCGAAUCUUUGAACGCACCUUGCGCUCCUUGGUAUUCCGAGGAGCAUGCCUGUUUGAGUGUCAUGAAACUCUCAACCUUCAACUUUUUUAUUAAGGCUGAAGGCUUGGACUUGAGCGCUGCUGGUUUUUACUAACCGGCUCGCUUGAAAUGAAUUAGCAGAUCCUUUUUGUAAUCGGUUCCACUCGACGUGAUAAGUAUUUCGCCGAGGACAUAUGAAAGUAUGGCCGAGAUAAGGAAAGUCUUUAGAUCCGCUUCUAAUUCUUAGAUCAAGCUUGCUUGACUAAACCCCAUUUUAUGAUCUGGCCUCAAAUCAGGUAGGACUACCCGCUGAACUUAAGCAUAUCAAUAAGCGGAGGA
This 599-nucleotide ribosomal RNA is filed under the name Mrakia gelida. RNAcentral's name for it is "eukaryotic LSU rRNA". The stretch from base 151 to 304 matches the Rfam family "5.8S ribosomal RNA". Lineage: Eukaryota; Fungi; Basidiomycota; Tremellomycetes; Cystofilobasidiales; Mrakiaceae. The record is from RNAcentral.